RNAcentral lists this ribosomal RNA (198 nucleotides) under uncultured bacterium. Its description in RNAcentral is "partial 16S ribosomal RNA". It matches the Rfam family "Bacterial small subunit ribosomal RNA", at positions 328 to 539 of the family's 1533-position model. The record is from RNAcentral.
ACGCUCGACACCUACGGAGGCAGCAGUUGGGAAUAUUGGACAAUGGAGGAAACUCUGAUCCAGUGACGCCGCGUGAAGGAAGAAGGUCUUCGGAUUGUAAACUUAUUUUGUCAGGGAAGAAAAAUGACUGUACCUGAAGAAAAAGCACCGGCUAACUACGUGCCCGCAGCCGCGGUAAUCUGAGCGGGCUGGCAAGGC